AAUCUUCCACAAUGGACGGAAGUCUGAUGGAGCAAUGCCGCGUGAGCGAAGAAGCUUUUCGGAUCGUAAAGCUCUGUUGCGAGGGAAGAACACGUCCGGCAGUCACUGCCCGUACCUUACCGGUACCUCACUACACAGCCACGGUUACCUACGUGCCGACAGCCGCGGUAAUACGGAGGUGGCAAGCGCUGCCCGGAAUUAUUGGGCGUAAAGCGCGCGCAGGCGGUCUUUUAAGUCUGAUGUGAAAGCCCACGGCUCAACCGUGGAAGGUCAUUGGAAACUGAAGGACUUGAGUACAGAAGAGGAAAGCGGAAUUCCACGUGUAGCGGUGAAAUGCGUAGAGAUGUGGAGGAACACCAGUGGCGGAGGCGGCUUUCUGGUCUGUAACUGACGCUGAGGCGCGAAAGCGUGGGGAGCAAACA
RNAcentral lists this ribosomal RNA (422 nucleotides) under uncultured bacterium. Its description in RNAcentral is "partial 16S ribosomal RNA". It matches the Rfam family "Bacterial small subunit ribosomal RNA", at positions 360 to 774 of the family's 1533-position model. The record is from RNAcentral.